CGCGGCCUAUCAGCUUGUUGGUGGGGUAGUGGCUUACCAAGGCUUUGACGGGUAGCCGGCCUGAGAGGGUGACCGGCCACAUUGGGACUGAGAUACGGCCCAGACUCCUACGGGAGGCAGCAGUGGGGAAUAUUGCACAAUGGGCGGAAGCCUGAUGCAGCAACGCCGCGUGCGGGAUGACGGCCUUCGGGUUGUAAACCGCUUUCGCCUGUGACGAAGCGUGAGUGACGGUAAUGGGUAAAGAAGCACCGGCUAACUACGUGCCAGCAGCCGCGGUGAUACGUAGGGUGCGAGCGUUGUCCGGAUUUAUUGGGCGUAAAGGGCUCGUAGGUGGUUGAUCGCGUCGGAAGUGUAAUCUUGGGGCUUAACCCUGAGCGUGCUUUCGAUACGGGUUGACUUGAGGAAGGUAGGGGAGAAUGGAAUUCCUGGUGGAGCGGUGGAAUGCGCAGAUAUCAGGAGGAACACCAGUGGCGAAGGCGGUUCUCUGGGCCUUUCCUGACGCUGAGGAGCGAAAGCGUGGGGAGCGAACAGGCUUAGAUACCCUGGUAGUCCACGCUGUAAACGGUGGGUACUAGGUGUGGGGUCCAUUCCACGGGUUCCGUGCCGUAGCUAACGCUUUAAGUAUUAAUGAUGGGGAGUACGG
Molecule: ribosomal RNA, 643 nt
Filed under: uncultured Actinomycetes bacterium
Lineage: Bacteria; Bacillati; Actinomycetota; Actinomycetes
Description: bacterial SSU rRNA
Rfam family: Bacterial small subunit ribosomal RNA
Source: RNAcentral